AGAAAUACCAUUAAGCUUUAUACCAGCUUGGGAGCAGCCAACACCACAGGAGUAUGGGAAGCCCUUUUAAUCUUCAAUCGUUCAAAUCUGCAAGGGAAUACUAGUUGGUGUGCUUACUAUUGGUCAUUUGGGUUCUUUUGUUGCGUUGACUAGCUCAAUCCAAAUGCAACCCUGCUUUGGUUUUAAUUUUGAAGUUGCUCAUAAAAGGUGCAAGUAAAUGUCUCUUGUAAGAAUUUUAGGAAUGGUGUAUGUUUUUCUUUUAUUGGCUGUCGUGCUCAUUUGAUAUAUUAGAAAAGUGUUUAUCAUAUUUGAUUAGAUGUGGUUCAGGAAUCCAUCUGUCUGAAGCCAUUGAAAAUCCCCGGAGAUUUGAUUUUCCCAACAGAUUUGUUUAUUUGAAUUUGCGUUCUUUUC
RNAcentral lists this unclassified non-coding RNA (411 nucleotides) under Hevea brasiliensis (rubber tree). The record is from RNAcentral. Lineage: Eukaryota; Viridiplantae; Streptophyta; Magnoliopsida; Malpighiales; Euphorbiaceae.